Molecule: ribosomal RNA, 460 nt
Filed under: uncultured bacterium
Lineage: Bacteria
Description: partial 16S ribosomal RNA
Rfam family: Bacterial small subunit ribosomal RNA
Source: RNAcentral
CCUACGGGAGGCAGCAGUGGGGAAUAUUGGACAAUGGGCGCGAGCCUGAUCCAGCAACGCCGCGUGAAUGAUGACUGCCUUAGGGGUUGUAAACUCUGUUUAUAGAGGAGUAAAGUGAGGCACGUGUGCCUUUAUGUAUGUACUUUAUGAAUCAGGAUCGCCUAACUCCGUGCCAGCAGCCGCGGUAAUACGGAGGAUCCGAGCGUUAUCAGGAUUUAUUGGGUUUAAAGGGAGCGUAGAUGGGUUGUUAAGUCAGUUGUGAAAGUUUGCGGCUUAACCGUAAAAUUGCAAUGGAUACUGGGAGUCUUGAGUGCAGAUGAGGUAAGCGGAAUUCGUGGUGUAGCGGUGAAAUGCGUAGAUAUCACGAAGAACUCCAGUUGCGAAGGCGGCUUACUAGACUGUCACUGACAUUGAGGCUCGAAAGUGUGGGUAGCAAACAGGAUUAGAUACCCGGGUAGUC